RNAcentral lists this long non-coding RNA (3123 nucleotides) under Sus scrofa (pig). RNAcentral describes it as "lncRNA (ENSSSCG00000052079.1)". Lineage: Eukaryota; Metazoa; Chordata; Mammalia; Artiodactyla; Suidae. The record is from RNAcentral.
AAAAAAAAAAAGAGGGAAUGACGUUAUAAUCAACAACAUUAUUUUUGGAUAAUUAGUACCAGCAAGAAUUGCCUUGUUUAGUGAUAAAAAUUUCUCCCUGGAGAACUUAUCUCCUGUGAGAUCAUUCAGAUUAGGUUUUGGUUGAACUGUUACCCCUCUGGAGGAUACAACCUAUGCCAGCUGUGAAUUUCCUGGACACACUAAUAAACUGAUAGAACAUUCUGCGUCAUGAUCCAGCUCGGUGUCCAUUUCUCUUCUAUCACUUGCCAAUGGAUGCUAAAAUAAAUAUAUUAAGGGAGAAAUGACCUUUAAAAGUUCCUAUAAGGAGCAAGCCCCUUCCCAGAGGAAUGUUCUCUCCAUUUUUUUUUUUUUUUUCUUUCCCAGGUAUCAUUUCAAAGGAGAGGUGUGUUAACAAAACAGACGCGGAAGAGACACGGUUGAAGUGAAGCUGCUUGUUUUGCAGGCAACGUAACAAGGUGAGGCUUUCAGAGGAAAAACAUUCAGGGACCUCUCAGUGUAUGAGUUUUAUAGGGCAAAAAACAAAACCAAAAACCUGUUUCCUGACUUAAGACAAUGAUGUAUCUUUUCUGUCCGCAUCUAUAACCUAGUUAAGACCAAGAGAGUUUUGCAUCCUUUGGGAGUGGAGGCGGUCCAGUCUGGCUUGGGGUGACAUUUUUGUGGGAAGACCUUCGUUGUUGGUGGCUUCUAGCCUCAGCAUCUUUUGAGGGAGCAGAAGAGGAGGCUUUCCUUACAGACAGAAACGCCUUCAACCCUGUGCUUUAGACUCGGUCCGCCUGGCAUGUUCUAGGUAUCGUUGCUAAGCUCCAGCCCUCUGUCCGCUCUGCCACUGGUGACGACUCCUCGGCCCACUGGAGGGGCACCAGCGGGCCCCCCGCCCCCGCACCGCGUUCAUGCCCGGGGCCCCCACAUAAGCAUUGAUGGCAGCUUUUUUUGGUGUUUCUGGCUCUUACCUCUACCAAGUGUGGUCAGUUGGGAUGCUAGUUUCCGUGGGUGCGGGGGUCCGUUCCAGGGCCUGCUGAUGGGGAGGAGGCGUUUUCUGGUUGUCAUGGUGAUCCAGAGGGUCCGGCGGGCAGGUCUCGGGCAAGAACCCGGGAGACUGAAUUUUCCUGCCAAACAAGGAACACACCCAGAAAAAGAAUCAUCCCUCAUCUCUCUUGAUUUUUGUUCAGCUGGAUAUUUCUGUUUAUACUCUCCUGAGCCUAGACUCGAAUGCCACACGAUACACAAGUAAAUUUCCCCACUUGCAUGCUUCCUGAAUUCUCCGGGAAGGCAGCUGCUGGGAGUCAAGGGAAGGUGGUACUUGGUUUUGUUUCAAACCUAGGUAAUUGUUCACUAUUUCAGCGGCAGUGGUUCUUAUGGUAACUGAGUCAACAAAAAUGAAUGGUGAAAAAAUGCCAGCCUCCACCACCACCACCACCGACAAACCCAAAAUAGGAGCCUUCACUAACAAAAUUAACAACCCAAAAUAUGAGCCUACGCUAACAACCAAAGAAAUAACAACCCAAAAUAUGAGCCCACACUAAAAACAACAACAAAAAAAUAGUAACAGUGAAAAAAUGAGCCUACACCUGCAACGGUCCCAUUCCAGGUGAUUCUACACACAGGGUAGGCAUUUGAUGCCUUUAUGAGGGUGGGCCCUGCCUGAGUAUUUGCAUGCUAAUAUACAUAUCUCUUAAGUAUUUUUCAUUUCAAUUACCGACUCGUGUUUUAUUGAUUUGCUGAUGUGUGAGCAGAUGGAGUCUCUUGUCUGUAUAAAUAAAAUAAAAUCCAGGAGGGGGUGUAGGUGGAGAUAAAAUGUUCUAAAGAAGGACCUGCUGGGGUAAGAGUAACUCUCCCCAUAACUUCCUUGAAGAACUUCCUGUCAUUCAAGGGUAACAAUCAUAUUCAUAUUUGCCACUGGUUCAUGACCGAUUGCCUCCCCGCUAGAAGACACCGAUGCAUUUUAAGGUUAUUUAACGCCUGUAACAUGCGGUCGCUGUUUCUUGCUAAUGGAAACCCUUCAAACAUUAAUACAGAGUGACAAUCCUCUGCUAAAUAAUCUCCUCUCCACUCUUUCAAGGAGUUAUCAGGGAGGGUCUGGCAGCAAAUAAGAUCAGCUUUGUAAGACAUCAGUCAUUUUUAUAACAAAAACAGCGCUCCAUCUAUCUGGGAGCUGGGUGUACGAGAACGAGCACUUUACGAUUGAGCAAAGAAUGAAUGACUUAAUAAAUGUUGUUGAGAAAAUUGGCUAUCCAUAUUGAAAAAAAAUAGAUCCGUGCCUUGCACAGCACUCAACAGCCUUCUCCAGAUGGAAUAAAGACAUAAAUCUGUACAGCAAAACUUUAAAACUGUUAGAGGGAUAUAUAAGGGUUUGUUUUUAUGAACCUGGAAGAGAGAAGACUUUCUUAAACAAGACCCCAAAAACAGAAGUCAUGAAGGACUGAGACAUUUGACCGUAUGAAAUUUUAAGGCCUCUGAACUGUAAGACACCAGAUACCAUCGAGCCCUGCAUUUCUUAAUGGAAAAAAAAUAUAUUAGCAGGGAAUUCCACUCAUGAAAUAUCUAGAAUUUACUUUUAAACUCCUAUCAGUCAGUAACGAAGGGACCAAAAAAUGUACAAGUAGACCCAAGAUGUGAGUAAGUCAAUGACUAGGAAUCUCGGGUGGCUGGUAGGACCGUGAAAAGUUCAGCUUUGCUAGCAAGCAAAAAAUGAAAACGGCUACUGUUUUCUACCCUUUAGCUUGGAAAAAUGAGCACUUCUGGGGAAAAAAGUGUUAAUGAAUAUUCAGAUUCUGAAUAGUCACUGUGGCUGCUGAGAGUGUAAGCUGAUACCGCCACGCUUGGGAGUAAAAUAAACACAAUAUAUGAACUCAUCGAACCCACAGAUAGGUAAUUACUGUCCAUGGAGUGUCUUUCAAACUGUUUUGAAAGGACCCACUGUAGAAAAUACCUUUUCUAGGACAACCCAGCACCUGUGUACACAUACACUGGUAAAUAAAAUAAGACACACUUUCAGAAAACAUUCAUUACCCUUAACUGUAUGUGGUGCAUUUUGACGUUUUUAUUCUGCUCUCGCGGUUCUUAAAAAACUUUGGUAGUGGCUUGCUGAAUUUAUCUCACAAU